GACGAACGCUGGCGGCGUGCUUAACACAUGCAAGUCGAACGGAAAGGCCCUGCUUUUGUGGGGUGCUCGAUUGGCGAACGGGUGAGUAACACGUGAGUAACCUGCCCUUGACUUUGGGAUAACUUCAGGAAACUGGGGCUCAUACCGGAUAGGAGCUCCUGCUGCAUGGUGGGGGUUGGAAAGUUUCGGCGGUUGGGGAUGGAUUGGCGGCUUAUCAGCUUCAUGGUGAGGUAGUGGCGUACCAAGGCUUUGACGGAUAGGCGGCCUGAGAGGGUGACCAGCGUCAUGAGGACUGAGGGAGGGAGCAGAAUCGUACGGUAGGCAGUAGGCGGAAGUAUGACGGAACGGGGGGGAGUGAGAUGUAGCGACGCUGGGUGCGGAAUGACGGCCUACGGGGUGUAAACAGAUUUGGCAGGUAAUGAGGAGUGAGUGACGGUAAUGAAUAAAAAAGCAACGGCUAACUACGUG
RNAcentral lists this ribosomal RNA (468 nucleotides) under uncultured bacterium. RNAcentral's name for it is "partial 16S ribosomal RNA". It matches the Rfam family "Bacterial small subunit ribosomal RNA", at positions 28 to 507 of the family's 1533-position model. The record is from RNAcentral.